This 497-nucleotide ribosomal RNA is filed under the name uncultured bacterium. Its description in RNAcentral is "partial 16S ribosomal RNA". It matches the Rfam family "Bacterial small subunit ribosomal RNA", at positions 28 to 507 of the family's 1533-position model. The record is from RNAcentral.
GAUGAACGCUGGCGGCGUGCCUAAUACAUGCCAGUCGAGCGAACGGACGAGAAGCUUGCUUCUCUGAUGUUAGCGGCGGACGGGUGAGUAACACGUGGAUAACCUACCUAUAAGACUGGGAUAACUUCGGGAAACCGGAGCUAAUACCGGAUAAUAUUUUGAACCGCAUGGUUCAAAAGUGAAAGACGGUCUUGCUGUCACUUAUAGAUGGAUCCGCGCUGCAUUAGCUAGUUGGUAAGGUAACGGCUUACCAAGGCAACGAUGCAUAGCCGACCUGAGAGGGUGAACGGCCACACUGGAACUGAGACACGGUCCAGACUCCUGCGGGAGGCAGCAGUAGGGAAUCUUCCGCAAUGGGCGAAAGCCUGACGGAGCAACGCCGCGUGAGUGAUGAAGGUCUUCGGAUCGUAAAACUCUGUUAUUAGGGAAGAACAUAUGUGUAAGUAACUGUGCACAUCUUGACGGUACCUAAUCAGAAAGCCACGGCUAACUACGUG